GUUGCCAACCACGGCGAACGAACACAUUGUCCCCCCUUCGGCGGGUCGUGGCGCCUCGCGGCGUCGCGGCGCGCCGUCACCCCUCGUCACCAGCGCGAGCUUCGUGGCGUCGGGUUUCCACACGAUGCAUCACCCGAAUGACUGAGUCCCGAAUACUUGGAUGGAGGAGAGGGCGCGUCGCGUCUCCUGGAGCGAGCGGGCUUUUGGCUUGCGAACUCGAGGUGCGCGUGGCGCGCCGGUUACCUUACGACGAGUUGAAAUCUAACUGAAANNNNNNNNNNNNNNNNNNNNNNNNNNNNNNUGCAUCGAUGAAGAACGCAGCGAAAUGCGAUACGUAGUGUGAAUUGCAGAAUUCCGCGAAUCAUCGAGUCUUUGAACGCAAGUUGCGCCCGAGGCUUGUCCGAGGGCAUUUCCGCUAGAGCGUCACCGCGCCCCCCACCGAUCCGCUCCCGCCGCGAGGCGCCAGUCGGGUCGAGUGCAAGUGGCCGUCCCGGCGAAGUGGCCUUCUUUCACGAGGAGGCCGUCCUUGGAAGGGUCGGCUGAAAUGGAUGGAAUCGGGCCGCCGUGGUGACACAGUCCGCGAUCGGGUGAUUUUGUCGCGAGCCUCCUGCGCUGCGGGAGGCUCUUGGUGAAUUUUUCUAAGUGCUUGGCUGCGUCCCCCAGUUGGCUCGGGUUACCUCAUGCAGGUCGAGCGCGCCCCCGCGGCGCGCGUCACGCAUCAGAC
Molecule: unclassified non-coding RNA, 724 nt
Filed under: Brachythecium glareosum
Lineage: Eukaryota; Viridiplantae; Streptophyta; Bryopsida; Hypnales; Brachytheciaceae
Description: sequence contains ITS1, 5.8S rRNA gene, ITS2 and 28S rRNA gene
Rfam family: 5.8S ribosomal RNA (bases 302-426)
Source: RNAcentral